This 557-nucleotide ribosomal RNA is filed under the name Pseudomonas monteilii. RNAcentral describes it as "bacterial SSU rRNA". It matches the Rfam family "Bacterial small subunit ribosomal RNA", at positions 74 to 627 of the family's 1533-position model. Lineage: Bacteria; Pseudomonadati; Pseudomonadota; Gammaproteobacteria; Pseudomonadales; Pseudomonadaceae. The record is from RNAcentral.
GGGAGCUUGCUCCUUGAUUCAGCGGCGGACGGGUGAGUAAUGCCUAGGAAUCUGCCUGGUAGUGGGGGACAACGUUUCGAAAGGAACGCUAAUACCGCAUACGUCCUACGGGAGAAAGCAGGGGACCUUCGGGCCUUGCGCUAUCAGAUGAGCCUAGGUCGGAUUAGCUAGUUGGUGGGGUAAUGGCUCACCAAGGCGACGAUCCGUAACUGGUCUGAGAGGAUGAUCAGUCACACUGGAACUGAGACACGGUCCAGACUCCUACGGGAGGCAGCAGUGGGGAAUAUUGGACAAUGGGCGAAAGCCUGAUCCAGCCAUGCCGCGUGUGUGAAGAAGGUCUUCGGAUUGUAAAGCACUUUAAGUUGGGAGGAAGGGCAGUAAGUUAAUACCUUGCUGUUUUGACGUUACCGACAGAAUAAGCACCGGCUAACUCUGUGCCAGCAGCCGCGGUAAUACAGAGGGUGCAAGCGUUAAUCGGAAUUACUGGGCGUAAAGCGCGCGUAGGUGGUUUGUUAAGUUGGAUGUGAAAGCCCCGGGCUCAACCUGGGAACUGCAUC